Ornithorhynchus anatinus (platypus) is the source of this 477-nucleotide long non-coding RNA. RefSeq lists it as uncharacterized. The record is from RefSeq and is a predicted model, not a curated record. The transcript is spliced from 4 exons. Lineage: Eukaryota; Metazoa; Chordata; Mammalia; Monotremata; Ornithorhynchidae.
GUGGCCAGGAGGUUGGCUUCCUGCUAUCACUGCUUCCACAAGCUGCUGCAGGGCAGCUCUGGGGCAGCGGUUGGAGGAGAGGUCGGAAGCCAGGGAAUACACCAGGAGAGACUGCGGCAGUCUGCAGGGGAAGCCGUGGGGCUCCGUUGAUGAACAGCACUGCUGUGAGGCGCUGAGACUCUCCGUAGGCAAACGAGUGCAGAGUUGAAUUUGGUGAAGUAAGCGCUGCCUGGUGCAAAAAGCCCCAUCUCGGUCAGUCCGUGGUUCUGCCGGGGUUCCUCUUCACACCGGACUCAGGAAGAGAUACCUCUCCCACACCUGCCCGAGCUCUUAAGUAGGAUCUCAAGGAGGAGGCACUCAAAGCUCUGGAGAGAGGAGAGAGGAGCAAAGAGCAAACAGAACCAGAACUGGAAAAGAUGGAAAGAAACCUACAGGUGAGGUGACUGAGGCCCAGAGAAGUGAAGUGAUUUGCCCAAG